GUCUAUGGCCAUGCCACCCUGAACAUGCCUGAUCCCAUCUGAUCUUGGAAGCUAAGCAGGGUCAGGCCUGGUUAGUACUUGGAUGGGAGACUGCCUAGGAAGACCAGGUGCUGUAGGUG
RNAcentral lists this ribosomal RNA (119 nucleotides) under Pteropus alecto (black flying fox). The record is from RNAcentral. Lineage: Eukaryota; Metazoa; Chordata; Mammalia; Chiroptera; Pteropodidae.